GACGAACGCUGGCGGCGUGCUUAACACAUGCAAGUCGAACGGAAAGGCCCUGCUUUUGUGGGGUGCUCGAGUGGCGAACGGGUGAGUAACACGUGAGUAACCUGCCCUUGACUUUGGGAUAACUUCAGGAAACUGGGGCUAAUACCGGAUAGGAGCUCCUGCUGCAUGGUGGGGGUUGGAAAGUUUCGGCGGUUGGGGAUGGACUCGCGGCUUAUCAGCUUGUUGGUGGGGUAGUGUCUUACCAAGGCUUUGACGGGUAGCCGGCCUGAGAGGGUGACCGGCAACAUUGGGACUGAGAUACGGCCCAGACUCAUACGGGAGGCAGCAGUGGGGAAUAUUGCACAAUGGGCGGAAGCCUGAUGCAGCAACGCCGCGUGCGGGAUGACGGCCUUCGGGUUGUAAACCGCUUUCGCCUGUGACGAAGCGUGAGUGACGGUAAUGGGUAAAGAAGCACCGGCUAACUACGUG
RNAcentral lists this ribosomal RNA (468 nucleotides) under uncultured bacterium. RNAcentral describes it as "partial 16S ribosomal RNA". It matches the Rfam family "Bacterial small subunit ribosomal RNA", at positions 28 to 507 of the family's 1533-position model. The record is from RNAcentral.